AAUGUUAAAUUGAUGCCUCUUGGC
RNAcentral lists this non-coding RNA (24 nucleotides) under Arabidopsis thaliana (thale cress). Lineage: Eukaryota; Viridiplantae; Streptophyta; Magnoliopsida; Brassicales; Brassicaceae. The record is from RNAcentral.